UACGAAGGGGGCUAGCGUUGUUCGGAAUUACUGGGCGUAAAGCGCACGUAGGCGGUCUUGUCAGUCAGAAGUGAAAGCCCUGGGCUCAACCCGGGAACUGCUUUUGAUACUGCAAGGCUUGAAUCCUGGAGAGGGUAGUGGAAUUCCCAGUGUAGAGGUGAAAUUCGUAGAUAUUGGGAAGAACACCAGUGGCGAAGGCGACUACCUGGCCAGGCAUUGACGCUGAGGUGCGAAAGCGUGGGGAGCAAACAGG
RNAcentral lists this ribosomal RNA (253 nucleotides) under uncultured bacterium. RNAcentral's name for it is "partial 16S ribosomal RNA". It matches the Rfam family "Bacterial small subunit ribosomal RNA", at positions 524 to 776 of the family's 1533-position model. The record is from RNAcentral.